RNAcentral lists this ribosomal RNA (468 nucleotides) under uncultured bacterium. Its description in RNAcentral is "partial 16S ribosomal RNA". It matches the Rfam family "Bacterial small subunit ribosomal RNA", at positions 28 to 507 of the family's 1533-position model. The record is from RNAcentral.
GACGAACGCUGGCGGCGUGCUUAACACAUGCAAGUCGAACGGAAAGGCCCUGCUUUUGUGGGGUGCUCGAGUGGCGAACGGGUGAGUAACACGUGAGUAACCUGCCCUUGACUUUGGGAUAACUUCAGGAAACUGGGGCUAAUACCGGAUAGGAGCUCCUGCUGCAUGGUGGGGGUUGGAAAGUUUCGGCGGUUGGGGAUGGACUCGCGGCUUAUCAGCUUGUUGGUGGGGUAGUGGCUUACCAAGGCUUUGACGGGUAGCCGGCCUGGGAGGGUGACCGGCCACAUUGGGACUGAGAUACGGCCCGGACUCCUACGGGAGGCAGCAGUGGGGAAUAUUGCACAAUGGGCGGAAGCCUGAUGCAGCAACGCCGCGUGCGGGAUGACGGCCUUCGGGUUGUAAACCGCUUUCGCCUGUGACGAAGCGUGAGUGACGGUAAUGGGUAAAGAAGCACCGGCUAACUACGUG